RNAcentral lists this ribosomal RNA (431 nucleotides) under uncultured bacterium. RNAcentral's name for it is "bacterial SSU rRNA". It matches the Rfam family "Bacterial small subunit ribosomal RNA", at positions 354 to 796 of the family's 1533-position model. The record is from RNAcentral.
GUGGGGAAUAUUGCGCAAUGGGCGAAAGCCUGACGCAGCGACGCCGCGUGGGGGAUGACGGCCUUCGGGUUGUAAACCUCUUUCGACCGGGACGAAGCGCAAGUGACGGUACCGGUAUAAGAAGCACCGGCCAACUACGUGCCAGCAGCCGCGGUAAUACGUAGGGUGCGAGCGUUGUCCGGAAUUAUUGGGCGUAAAGAGCUCGUAGGCGGUGUGUCACGUCGAUCGUGAAAACUUACAGCUUAACUGUGAGCGUGCGGUCGAUACGGGCAUCACUGGAGUUCGGCAGGGGAGACUGGAAUUCCUGGUGUAGCGGUGAAAUGCGCAGAUAUCAGGAGGAACACCGGUGGCGAAGGCGGGUCUCUGGGCCGAUACUGACGCUGAGGAGCGAAAGCGUGGGGAGCGAACAGGAUUAGAAACCCGAGUAGUCC